RNAcentral lists this ribosomal RNA (216 nucleotides) under uncultured fungus. RNAcentral's name for it is "partial small subunit ribosomal RNA". The stretch from base 38 to 216 matches the Rfam family "Eukaryotic small subunit ribosomal RNA", at positions 684 to 864 of the family's 1831-position model. The record is from RNAcentral. Lineage: Eukaryota; Fungi.
GGAUUAGUACGUUGGCCGUGCCUUCGGUAUGUACUGGUGUUACUGAUUCCUCCCCUCUGACGAACCAUCAUGUCAUUAAUUUGGUGUGAUGGGGAAUCAGGACUGUUACUUUGAAAAAAUUAGAGUGUUUAAAGCAGGCAUACGCUUGAAUACAUUAGCAUGGAAUAAUGAAAUAGGACGUUUGAUCUUAUUUUGUUGGUUUCUAGGAUCUACGUA